GAGAGGGAGAGAGAGAGAGAGAGGACCAGAUAAGAGAGGGAACGUGCGCCCAACAAAAUCUCUCGUGCAGUCUACCGUAGUCCAGCUCGGUCAACCUUCUACUCCCCCCCACUGACCCUCGUGGCUUAAUAAUGUGAAGUGGUUUAUUCAUUUCUUCUCUGGAGAAUUACCAUCUGCUCCGAGGGGCUCGUGGGUUCAAGUUUCAAUGCAACGUUAGGCAUUGUCAGGGUGCAACAAUUUUGUUGGGCUUUUAGCAUUUCUAGCCAGCCCGCUCCCCUCCUUUUAACAUCCAGUUAGCUGAUAACAAAUUAAUAUUUAGGCGUACUCAGCAGACGUCCAUGUGAUAUCAUCGGAUUGCCAUUUGUUAUUUUCUUUUUUUUUACAAAGCUUCUGUCUGUCUGCUUGUCUGUUUGUCUGGUAAAAGAGUUUGUACACGUUCUUUUCUCCACACUCAUUCUAGGACCAAGUUGAAACUUUGCACAAUGAGAUUUGUGAUUUUGGGCACAUCGGCACAAUUUAGGCCAUGUCGUGCCUGCAGUCCCUCAAGGGCCACUCUCCCUCCACACAGCAAAGGCCAAAUUCCAUACAGUCAAAUCAUUAAAAUCAAGGUCUAUUCACAGUUAAAAUAGUAGAGGUAGUAAAAAUUUAAUAAUUUGGUAAAAAUCUAAUGUAAAUAGUACAUGUCUACAGAAUUCAUAAAUCAGAUCUUCGUAGACAACCCCACUUCCCGGAUAAAGCCCAGUACCUUCCCAGGGUCGACAUUAUUGAAUAGUGUUUUUAAGUUAGUGGCUCUAAAAUAUUUUU
This is a non-coding RNA of Biomphalaria pfeifferi, 804 nucleotides long. Lineage: Eukaryota; Metazoa; Mollusca; Gastropoda; Planorbidae. The record is from the annotation of a GenBank genome assembly.